AUGGCCCAUGAACAGGAGCUGAUCCUCAAGUUUGACACUAUGGUCGGUGAGGAGCGUGAAAAAAAGGAGCCAACUAAUCUUUUUGAAGGUUGGAGUGAUGAGGAAAAGGUAAGCUAUAUGAGGCAGUUGGAAUUCAAUCUUCCACAAUACAGUGAGGCACCUAAUCUUGAAGACAAGGAAGUCCCGGAUAGUGUAAUUUUUGAUGUCACAGAUCCAGAGAAAAUUCAGAAAAAUUAUGUUGCUUCAAUUGGUCAUUAUAGAUCCUGGCAAUAUGUUGGUUCCGACCGACGUUUUGAGUUUGGUUCAAAACAACGCACGUUUGUGACCAGAUCAACGGGAACAUUUGUAUUCUAUUAUAGAUACAAACAUUUUCUUGUUGGCUUGAUCGUCGACGGAUAA
This 399-nucleotide ribosomal RNA is filed under the name Triticum aestivum (bread wheat). RNAcentral's name for it is "partial small subunit ribosomal RNA". The record is from RNAcentral. Lineage: Eukaryota; Viridiplantae; Streptophyta; Magnoliopsida; Poales; Poaceae.